AGCAGCCGCGGUAAUUCCAGCUCCAAUAGCGUAUAUUAAAGUUGUUGCAGUUAAAAAGCUCGUAGUUGAAUUUCGGGGGUUAUAGGCUGGUCGUGCCACUGGUAUGUACUGGUCUUACUGAUUUCUCCUUUCUGAAGAACUGUAAUGCCAUUAAUUUGGUGUUGCAGGGAAUCAGGACUGUUACUUUGAAAAAAUUAGAGUGUUUAAAGCAGGCUAACGCUUGAAUACAUUAGCAUGGAAUAAUGAAAUAGGACGUUCGAUCCUAUUUUGUUGGUUUCUAGGAUUGACGUAAUGAUUAAUAGGGAUAGUUGGGGGCAUUAGUAUUCAAUUGUCAGAGGUGAAAUUCUUGGAUUUAUUGAAGACUAACUACUGCGAAAGCAUUUGCCAAGGAUGUUUUCAUUAAUCAAGAACGAAAGUUAGGGGAUCGAAGACGAUCAGAUACCGUCGUAGUCUUAACCAUAAACUAUGCCGACUAGGGAUCGGAUGAUGUUUAAUUUUUAAUGACUCAUUCGGCGCCUUA
RNAcentral lists this ribosomal RNA (520 nucleotides) under uncultured Glomus. RNAcentral's name for it is "SSU rRNA". It matches the Rfam family "Eukaryotic small subunit ribosomal RNA", at positions 569 to 1090 of the family's 1831-position model. Lineage: Eukaryota; Fungi; Glomeromycota; Glomeromycetes; Glomerales; Glomeraceae. The record is from RNAcentral.